RNAcentral lists this ribosomal RNA (253 nucleotides) under uncultured bacterium. RNAcentral's name for it is "partial 16S ribosomal RNA". It matches the Rfam family "Bacterial small subunit ribosomal RNA", at positions 524 to 776 of the family's 1533-position model. The record is from RNAcentral.
UACAGAGGGUGCAAGCGUUGUUCGGAAUUACUGGGCGUAAAGCGCGUGUAGGCGGUUUGAUAAGUCAGAUGUGAAAUCCCUCAGCUUAACUGAGGAACUGCAUCUGAUACUGUUAAACUUGAGUGUCGGAGGGGAUGGCGGAAUUCCUGGUGUAGAGGUGAAAUUCGUAGAUAUCAGGAGGAACACCUGUGGCGAAGGCGGCCAUCUGGAAGACAACUGACGCUGAGACGCGAAAGCGUGGGGAGCAAACAGG